RNAcentral lists this microRNA (23 nucleotides) under Daphnia pulex (common water flea). Its description in RNAcentral is "Dpu-Mir-12605_3p (mature (guide))". The record is from RNAcentral. RNAcentral also lists the same sequence under 1 other name. Lineage: Eukaryota; Metazoa; Arthropoda; Branchiopoda; Diplostraca; Daphniidae.
UUGCACUGUACGGUUCGAGGCGA